UGAACGCUGGCGGCAUGCCUUACACAUGCAAGUCGAACGGCAGCACGGAGCUUGCUCUGGUGGCGAGUGGCGAACGGGUGAGUAAUAUAUCGGAACGUACCCUAGAGUGGGGGAUAACGUAGCGAAAGUUACGCUAAUACCGCAUACGAUCUAAGGAUGAAAGUGGGGGAUCGCAAGACCUCAUGCUCGUGGAGCGGCCGAUAACUGAUAGCUAGUUGGUAGGGUAAAAGCCUACCAAGGCAUCGAUCAGUAGCUGGUCUGAGAGGACGACCAGCCACACUGGAACUGAGACACGGUCCAGACUCCUACGGGAGGCAGCAGUGGGGAAUUUUGGACAAUGGGCGAAAGCCUGAUCCAGCAAUGCCGCGUGAGUGAAGAAGGCCUUCGGGUUGUAAAGCUCUUUUGUCAGGGAAGAAACGGUGAGAGCUAAUAUCUUUUGCUAAUGACGGUACCUGAAGAAUAAGCACCGGCUAACUACGUGCCAGCAGCCGCGGUAAUACGUAGGGUGCAAGCGUUAAUCGGAAUUACUGGGCGUAAAGCGUGCGCAGGCGGUUUUGUAAGUCUGAUGUGAAAUCCCCGGGCUCAACCUGGGAAUUGCAUUGGAGACUGCAAGGCUAGAAUCUGGCAGAGGGGGGUAGAAUUCCACGUGUAGCAGUGAAAUGCGUAGAUAUGUGGAGGAACACCGAUGGCGAAGGCAGCCCCCUGGGUCAAGAUUGACGCUCGUGCACGAAAGCGUGGGGAGCAAACAGGAUUAGAUACCCUGGUAGUCCACGCCCUAAACGAUGUCUACUAGUUGUCGGGUCUUAAUUGACUUGGUAACGCAGCUAACGCGUGAAAUAGACCGCCUGGGGAGUACGGCCGCAAGAUUA
RNAcentral lists this ribosomal RNA (869 nucleotides) under uncultured bacterium. RNAcentral's name for it is "bacterial SSU rRNA". It matches the Rfam family "Bacterial small subunit ribosomal RNA", at positions 30 to 896 of the family's 1533-position model. The record is from RNAcentral.